This 429-nucleotide ribosomal RNA is filed under the name Pseudomonadota bacterium. Its description in RNAcentral is "Proteobacteria bacterium partial 16S ribosomal RNA". It matches the Rfam family "Bacterial small subunit ribosomal RNA", at positions 355 to 776 of the family's 1533-position model. Lineage: Bacteria; Pseudomonadati; Pseudomonadota. The record is from RNAcentral.
UGGGGAAUAUUGGACAAUGGGCGAAAGCCUGAUGCAGCCAUGCCGCGUGUGUGAAGAAGGUCUUCGGAUUGUAAAGCACUUUAAGUGGGGAGGAAGGGCAGUAAGCGAAUACCUUGCUGUUUUGACGUUACCGACAGAAUAAGCACCGGCUAACUCUGUGCCAGCAGCCGCGGUAAUACAGAGGGUGCAAGCGUUAAUCGGAAUUACUGGGCGUAAAGCGCGCGUAGGUGGUUCGUUAAGUUGAAUGUGAAAGCCCCGGGCUCAACCUGGGAACUGCAUCCAAAACUGGCGAGCUAGAGUAGGGCAGAGGGUGGUGGAAUUUCCUGUGUAGCGGUGAAAUGCGUAGAUAUAGGAAGGAACACCAGUGGCGAAGGCGACCACCUGGGCUCAUACUGACACUGAGGUGCGAAAGCGUGGGGAGCAAACAGG